This is a small nuclear RNA of Ailuropoda melanoleuca (giant panda), 95 nucleotides long. The record is from Ensembl. NCBI's taxonomy places the organism in Eukaryota, Metazoa, Chordata, Mammalia, Carnivora, Ursidae.
UUGCUUUGGCAGCACACAUACUAAACUGGAACAAGUGAGUGUUAGCAUGGCCCCUGCACAAUGACAUGCAAAUUCAUGAAAUGUUCCAUAUUUUU